AUGCCCAGUGAUUAUAAAAAGACGCGUUAUUCUGAGGAACACAGCCUGCUGCCAGUCCAUCUUCUACCUUGUCCUCUGUCUUUGAUCUCCAUCUUUCUCAUCCUUCCUCCUCCUCAAGCUGGUAGCUGGUCCGCUGACUGCGAUUAUGAGAUAUGAGGGCAU
Anarrhichthys ocellatus (wolf-eel) is the source of this 162-nucleotide small nucleolar RNA. RefSeq annotates it as small nucleolar RNA SNORD97. The transcript has a single exon. The record is from RefSeq and is a predicted model, not a curated record. Lineage: Eukaryota; Metazoa; Chordata; Actinopteri; Perciformes; Anarhichadidae.